CACAGCCCCGCAGAGCAGACGCUGCUCCGCUCCCCAGCCCGCCGGCCCCGGGAGCGCCCGGCCCCGGGGGCACCGAUUCCCGGCUCCAGGUGGGAGAGGGGCCGGAGCAGCUGGGGCUGGGCACGGGAAAGCCCGGCCAGGGCUGGGAGCUGCCGGGAACCUGCCUUUCGCUCUCACCUUGCACAGCUGCCUCUCGGACCGAUCUGAGGAGAAGCACAAAUCGUCCCCAGCUUCACACAAUGAUCACGUUAAGGAUGGAGCCAGACCUGCCACUACACAGAAUCUCUCACCUAUAUUCCGGCUUCUUCACUGAUCACUAAUGCAUCUAUUUGGAAUAUCGAGGGAUUUCUUACUGAAAAACUG
Passer domesticus (house sparrow) is the source of this 363-nucleotide long non-coding RNA. RefSeq lists it as uncharacterized. The transcript is spliced from 3 exons. The record is from RefSeq and is a predicted model, not a curated record. Lineage: Eukaryota; Metazoa; Chordata; Aves; Passeriformes; Passeridae.